CGGGCCAAAGAGGGGGACCUUCGGGCCUCUCGCGUCAGGAUAUGCCUAGGUGGGAUUAGCUAGUUGGUGAGGUAAGGGCUCACCAAGGCGACGAUCCCUAGCUGGUCUGAGAGGAUGAUCAGCCACACUGGAACUGAGACACGGUCCAGACUCCUACGGGAGGCAGCAGUGGGGAAUAUUGCACAAUGGGCGCAAGCCUGAUGCAGCCAUGCCGCGUGUGUGAAGAAGGCCUUCGGGUUGUAAAGCACUUUCAGUCGUGAGGAAGGUGGUGUAGUUAAUAGCUGCAUUAUUUGACGUUAGCGACAGAAGAAGCACCGGCUAACUCCGUGCCAGCACGCGGCGG
RNAcentral lists this ribosomal RNA (343 nucleotides) under Vibrio anguillarum. RNAcentral describes it as "bacterial SSU rRNA". It matches the Rfam family "Bacterial small subunit ribosomal RNA", at positions 197 to 520 of the family's 1533-position model. Lineage: Bacteria; Pseudomonadati; Pseudomonadota; Gammaproteobacteria; Vibrionales; Vibrionaceae. The record is from RNAcentral.